Molecule: non-coding RNA, 72 nt
Organism: Potamilus streckersoni
Lineage: Eukaryota; Metazoa; Mollusca; Bivalvia; Unionida; Unionidae
Source: the annotation of a GenBank genome assembly
GCUCCGGUGGUUUAGUUGUCAGAGCGUCCGCCUUGGAUGCGAGAGGUACUGGGUUCGAUCCCCAUCGAGUCA